UUUGUACUCCCUCCAUCCAGAAAUGCUUAUCAUCAAAAUGGAUAAAAGGAGAUGUAUCCAUACGUAUUUUAGUUCUAGAUACAUCUCUUUUUAUCCAUUUUGAUGACAAGUAUUUUCGAACGGAGGGAGUAAUAA
Non-coding RNA from Triticum aestivum (bread wheat), 135 nucleotides. NCBI's taxonomy places the organism in Eukaryota, Viridiplantae, Streptophyta, Magnoliopsida, Poales, Poaceae. The record is from Rfam.